GAUAAACGCUGGCGGCGUGCUUAACACAUGCAAGUCGAACGGAGUAUUCCUCCCGAGAAUUGAUGAAGCUUGCUUCUGAUUGACUCAUUUGGAAUACUUAGUGGCGGACGGGUGAGUAACGCGUGGGUAACCUGCCUCACACUGGGGGAUAGCAGUUGGAAACGACUGAUAAUACCGCAUAAGCGCACAGUACCGCAUGGUACAGUGUGAAAAACUCCGGUGGUGUGAGAUGGACCCGCGUCUGAUUAGCUAGUUGGUGAGGUAACGGCCCACCAAGGCGACGAUCAGUAGGGGUUCUGAGAGGAAGGUCCCCCACAUUGGAACUGAGACACGGUCCAAACUCC
RNAcentral lists this ribosomal RNA (344 nucleotides) under uncultured Coprococcus sp. Its description in RNAcentral is "bacterial SSU rRNA". It matches the Rfam family "Bacterial small subunit ribosomal RNA", at positions 28 to 339 of the family's 1533-position model. The record is from RNAcentral. Lineage: Bacteria; Bacillati; Bacillota; Clostridia; Lachnospirales; Lachnospiraceae.